Molecule: ribosomal RNA, 111 nt
Filed under: Verrucomicrobia bacterium ADurb.Bin006
Lineage: Bacteria; Pseudomonadati; Verrucomicrobiota
Source: RNAcentral
UGGUGACCAUAAAACGGUGGUCCGACCCGAUCCCAUCCCGAACUCGGCCGUCAAACACCGCUUUGCCGAUGGUAGUGCUUGUAUAGCUUGCGCGAGAGUAGGUUGUCGCCA